UUAAGUUAUUAAGGGCGCACGGUGGAUGCCUUGGCACUAGAAGCCGAUGAAGGACGUUACUAACGACGAUAUGCUUUGGGGAGCUGUAAGUAAGCUUUGAUCCAGAGAUUUCCGAAUGGGGAAACCCAGCAUGAGUUAUGUCAUGUUAUCGAUAUGUGAAUACAUAGCAUAUCAGAAGGCACACCCGGAGAACUGAAACAUCUUAGUACCCGGAGGAAGAGAAAGAAAAUUCGAUUCCCUUAGUAGCGGCGAGCGAAACGGGAAGAGCCCAAACCAACAAGCUUGCUUGUUGGGGUUGUAGGACACUCUAUACGGAGUUACAAAGGACGACAUUAGACGAAUCAUCUGGAAAGAUGAAUCAAAGAAGGUAAUAAUCCUGUAGUCGAAAAUGUUGUCUCUCUUGAGUGGAUCCUGAGUACGACGGAGCACGUGAAAUUCCGUCGGAAUCUGGGAGGACCAUCUCCUAAGGCUAAAUACUCUCUAGUGACCGAUAGUGAACCAGUACCGUGAGGGAAAGGUGAAAAGCACCCCGGAAGGGGAGUGAAAUAGAACCUGAAACCGUGUGCUUACAAGUAGUCAGAGCCCGUUAAUGGGUGAUGGCGUGCCUUUUGUAGAAUGAACCGGCGAGUUACGAUUUGAUGCAAGGUUAAGCAGUAAAUGUGGAGCCGUAGCGAAAGCGAGUCUGAAUAGGGCGUUUAGUAUUUGGUCGUAGACCCGAAACCAGGUGAUCUACCCUUGGUCAGGUUGAAGUUCAGGUAACACUGAAUGGAGGACCGAACCGACUUACGUUGAAAAGUGAGCGGAUGAACUGAGGGUAGCGGAGAAAUUCCAAUCGAACCUGGAGAUAGCUGGUUCUCUCCGAAAUAGCUUUAGGGCUAGCCUCAAGGGAUGAUUAUUGGAGGUAGAGCACUGUUUGGACGAGGGGCCCCUCUCGGGUUACCGAAUUCAGACAAACUCCGAAUGCCAAUUAAUUUAACUUGGGAGUCAGAACAUGGGUGAUAAGGUCCGUGUUCGAAAGGGAAACAGCCCAGACCACCAGCUAAGGUCCCAAAAUAUAUGUUAAGUGGAAAAGGAUGUGGCGUUGCCCAGACAACUAGGAUGUUGGCUUAGAAGCAGCCAUCAUUUAAAGAGUGCGUAAUAGCUCACUAGUCGAGUGACACUGCGCCGAAAAUGUACCGGGGCUAAACAUAUUACCGAAGCUGUGGAUUGUCCUUUGGACAAUGGUAGGAGAGCGUUCUAAGGGCGUUGAAGCAUGAUCGUAAGGACAUGUGGAGCGCUUAGAAGUGAGAAUGCCGGUGUGAGUAGCGAAAGACGGGUGAGAAUCCCGUCCACCGAUUGACUAAGGUUUCCAGAGGAAGGCUCGUCCGCUCUGGGUUAGUCGGGUCCUAAGCUGAGGCCGACAGGCGUAGGCGAUGGAUAACAGGUUGAUAUUCCUGUACCACCUAUAAUCGUUUUAAUCGAUGGGGGGACGCAGUAGGAUAGGCGAAGCGUGCGAUUGGAUUGCACGUCUAAGCAGUAAGGCUGAGUAUUAGGCAAAUCCGGUACUCGUUAAGGCUGAGCUGUGAUGGGGAGAAGACAUUGUGUCUUCGAGUCGUUGAUUUCACACUGCCGAGAAAAGCCUCUAGAUAGAAAAUAGGUGCCCGUACCGCAAACCGACACAGGUAGUCAAGAUGAGAAUUCUAAGGUGAGCGAGCGAACUCUCGUUAAGGAACUCGGCAAAAUGACCCCGUAACUUCGGGAGAAGGGGUGCUCUUUAGGGUUAACGCCCAGAAGAGCCGCAGUGAAUAGGCCCAAGCGACUGUUUAUCAAAAACACAGGUCUCUGCUAAACCGUAAGGUGAUGUAUAGGGGCUGACGCCUGCCCGGUGCUGGAAGGUUAAGAGGAGUGGUUAGCUUCUGCGAAGCUACGAAUCGAAGCCCCAGUAAACGGCGGCCGUAACUAUAACGGUCCUAAGGUAGCGAAAUUCCUUGUCGGGUAAGUUCCGACCCGCACGAAAGGCGUAACGAUUUGGGCACUGUCUCAACGAGAGACUCGGUGAAAUCAUAGUACCUGUGAAGAUGCAGGUUACCCGCGACAGGACGGAAAGACCCCGUGGAGCUUUACUGUAGCCUGAUAUUGAAAUUCGGCACAGCUUGUACAGGAUAGGUAGGAGCCUUUGAAACGUGAGCGCUAGCUUACGUGGAGGCGCUGGUGGGAUACUACCCUAGCUGUGUUGGCUUUCUAGCCCGCACCACUUAUCGUGGUGGGAGACAGUGUCAGGCGGGCAGUUUGACUGGGGCGGUCGCCUCCUAAAAGGUAACGGAGGCGCUCAAAGGUUCCCUCAGAAUGGUUGGAAAUCAUUCAUAGAGUGUAAAGGCAUAAGGGAGCUUGACUGCGAGACCUACAAGUCGAGCAGGGUCGAAAGACGGACUUAGUGAUCCGGUGGUUCCGCAUGGAAGGGCCAUCGCUCAACGGAUAAAAGCUACCCCGGGGAUAACAGGCUUAUCUCCCCCAAGAGUUCACAUCGACGGGGAGGUUUGGCACCUCGAUGUCGGCUCAUCGCAUCCUGGGGCUGUAGUCGGUCCCAAGGGUUGGGCUGUUCGCCCAUUAAAGCGGUACGCGAGCUGGGUUCAGAACGUCGUGAGACAGUUCGGUCCCUAUCCGUCGUGGGCGUAGGAAAUUUGAGAGGAGCUGUCCUUAGUACGAGAGGACCGGGAUGGACAUACCUCUGGUGUACCAGUUGUCGUGCCAACGGCAUAGCUGGGUAGCUAUGUGUGGACGGGAUAAGUGCUGAAAGCAUCUAAGCAUGAAGCCCCCCUCAAGAUGAGAUUUCCCAACUUCGGUUAUAAGAUCCCUCAAAGAUGAUGAGGUUAAUAGGUUCGAGGUGGAAGCAUGGUGACAUGUGGAGCUGACGAAUACUAAUCGAUCGAAGACUUAAUCAA
Molecule: ribosomal RNA, 2921 nt
Filed under: Staphylococcus aureus
Lineage: Bacteria; Bacillati; Bacillota; Bacilli; Caryophanales; Staphylococcaceae
Description: bacterial LSU rRNA
Rfam family: Bacterial large subunit ribosomal RNA
Source: RNAcentral